GACGAACGCUGGCGGCGUGCCUAAUACAUGCAAGUAGAACGCUGAAGAGAGGAGCUUGCUCUUCUUGGAUGAGUUGCGAACGGGUGAGUAACGCGUAGGUAACCUGCCUGGUAGCGGGGGAUAACUAUUGGAAACGAUAGCUAAUACCGCAUAAAAUUGAUUAUUGCAUGAUAAUUAAUUGAAAGAUGCAAUUGCAUCACUACCAGAUGGACCUGCGUUGUAUUAGCUAGUUGGUGAGGUAACGGCUCACCAAGGCGACGAUACAUAGCCGACCUGAGAGGGUGAUCGGCCACACUGGGACUGAGACACGGCCCAGACUCCUACGGGAGGCAGCAGUAGGGAAUCUUCGGCAAUGGGGGGAACCCUGACCGAGCAACGCCGCGUGAGUGAAGAAGGUUUUCGGAUCGUAAAGCUCUGUUGUAAGAGAAGAACGGGUGUGAGAGUGGAAAGUUCACACNG
This 459-nucleotide ribosomal RNA is filed under the name uncultured bacterium. RNAcentral's name for it is "bacterial SSU rRNA". It matches the Rfam family "Bacterial small subunit ribosomal RNA", at positions 28 to 471 of the family's 1533-position model. The record is from RNAcentral.